UACGAAGGGGGCUAGCGUUGCUCGGAAUGACUGGGCGUAAAGGGCGCGUAGGCGGACGGCUUUGUCGGGCGUGAAAUUCCAGGGCUUAACCUUGGGGCUGCGUUCGAGACGGGUUGUCUAGAGUUUGGAAGAGGGUCGUGGAAUUCCCAGUGUAGAGGUGAAAUUCGUAGAUAUUGGGAAGAACACCGAUGGCGAAGGCAGCCCCCUGGGCUAACACUGACGCUGAGGCACGAAAGCGUGGGGAGCAAACAGG
Molecule: ribosomal RNA, 253 nt
Filed under: uncultured bacterium
Lineage: Bacteria
Description: partial 16S ribosomal RNA
Rfam family: Bacterial small subunit ribosomal RNA
Source: RNAcentral